GUUGCGGUGGCCGAGUGGUUGAGGCGUUGGACUAGAAAUCCAAUGGGAUCUUCCCGCGCAGGCCCGAAUCCUGCCCGCAACG
This 82-nucleotide transfer RNA is filed under the name Nematostella vectensis (starlet sea anemone). It matches the Rfam family "tRNA". Rfam says of the family: Transfer RNA (tRNA) molecules are approximately 80 nucleotides in length. Their secondary structure includes four short double-helical elements and three loops (D, anti-codon, and T loops). Lineage: Eukaryota; Metazoa; Cnidaria; Anthozoa; Actiniaria; Edwardsiidae. The record is from Rfam by way of RNAcentral.